UACGGAGGGGGUUAGCGUUGUUCGGAAUUACUGGGCGUAAAGCGCGCGUAGGCGGAUUAGAAAGUUGGGGGUGAAAUCCCGGGGCUCAACCCCGGAACUGCCUCCAAAACUACUAGUCUAGAGUUCGAGAGAGGUGACUGGAAUUCCGAGUGUAGAGGUGAAAUUCGUAGAUAUUCGGAGGAACACCAGUGGCGAAGGCGGCUCACUGGCUCGAUACUGACGCUGAGGUGCGAAAGUGUGGGGAGCAAACAGG
This 253-nucleotide ribosomal RNA is filed under the name uncultured bacterium. RNAcentral describes it as "partial 16S ribosomal RNA". It matches the Rfam family "Bacterial small subunit ribosomal RNA", at positions 524 to 776 of the family's 1533-position model. The record is from RNAcentral.